AUGUGGCUGCACGAACAUGAGGACACCUUCAACGCCAAGCACAGAGCCUGGCUCGCUGGAAACGCUCGGAUCGGCAGUUUCUCGCGAGCCAGGCUGAGUGCGGCGAGAGGCCGCACGAGCGGGAGCGAGACGAGGGCGAGGGGGGUGGCGGGAGAUGGAAAUCUGGCGUGCCGUCCCGGCGCCAAAUUAGCCUCACCCCCCUUUCACUCGCUCACCCAUAGCCACUGCCCCCUUUCUUCCCUACUGCCUCACCACCGGCGGCGGCUGCGAUUUCAGAUCUGCGCUAGAGGCGAUGGUGGCGGCGGUGGCGGAAGAGGCGGCGGCAUUUGCGGCGGAUCUGGUGCUCCCCUUGUUGUUGGCCACUGUCUGGUCGACCUGGUCUGUGCCAUGGCUCCCCCUACGCCGUCCUCGUCUUCGAUGCCCGUUAUGGACGGACGAAUGAGGCUGAUAAUCCAGGCAGCAACACUGAUUAGUGUGAUUCAGGCAUGGGUCAUGUUCAUGCACCAAAGAGCUGUUUGUCGUGCUGGGAGACCUUUGAUCCGCUAUGGCCCAUUGUUUCCCCGGGAACAGGAGAUGAUCCAAAAUCUGAACUACAUCUACAACUGCAAUGACGUUGAGGCUCUGGGGAUGCUUAGAAUGAAAAGAGCACCAUUUGCCAGGCUUGUCGAGACCUUCAGGAGCAGGGGGCUGUUACAAGAUAGCAUUAACACCAGUGUCGAAGAGCAAGUGGCCAUGUUCCUCCAUGUUGUUGGCCAUAACCAGAGGUUCAGGGUCAUUCACAACACGUUCAGGAGAUCGAUGGAGACCAUAUCUAGGUACUUCAAGCAGGUGCUUUUUUCUAUUGGGGAGCUUAGAGGAGAGAUGAUCAGGAGACCAUCUGGUCAGACUCCACUCAAGAUUCGCGGAAGCCCAAGAUGGUAUCCAUACUUCAAGGAUUGCAUUGGGGCAAUAGAUGGUACUCAUGUCACUGCCAGAGUUCCUAGGUCACAGUCUGCAGCAUACAGGGGGAGGAAGCACUACACAAGCCAGAAUGUGCUUGCUGCUGUUGACUUUGAUAUGAAGUUCACAUAUGUGCUGGCUGGCUGGGAGGGGUCAGCGCAUGAUGCUAACAUUCUCACUGACAACAUGAGUCAACCUGAUGGGAUCAACAUCCCUGACGGCAAGUUCUACCUUGGAGAUGCUGGCUAUGCAUGUCGGCCGUGUAUUCUUCCACCCUUCAGGAAAACAAGAGUAACUGUUGAGAGGGCAUUUGGAGCUCUGAAGAAUAGGUUUAAUAUCCUGGAUCAGAAGCCAUUCCACCCAUACUCCACUCAGGUUAAGCUAGUUCUUAUUUGUUGCAUUCUGCAUAACUGGAUCCUCCAGUGGGGCUUUGAUGAACACGUGCCUGAGGAGGAAGAUGUCCAGCCUGACGAUGUUAGGUCAGUGGAGGAUUUGAAGAUGGAAGAAGAACACGAAGCAGCAGCAGCAGUAGCAGAAGCAGCAACAGAAGCAGAAGCAGAAGAAGAGGAGAGGAAGAAGAAGAUCUGGUAG
This 1530-nucleotide ribosomal RNA is filed under the name Triticum aestivum (bread wheat). RNAcentral's name for it is "partial small subunit ribosomal RNA". The record is from RNAcentral. Lineage: Eukaryota; Viridiplantae; Streptophyta; Magnoliopsida; Poales; Poaceae.